UUCGGAUCGUAAAGCUCUGUUGUAAGAGAAGAACGUUAGCGGGAGUGGAAAAUCCGCUAAGUGACGGUACCUUACCAGAAAGGGACGGCUAACUACGUGCCAGCAGCCGCGGUAAUACGUAGGUCCCGAGCGUUGUCCGGAUUUAUUGGGCGUAAAGCGAGCGCAGGCGGUUUGAUAAGUCAGAAGUAAAAGGCUGUGGCUCAACCAUAGUACGCUUUUGAAACUGUCAAACUUGAGUGCAGAAGGGGGGAGUGGAAUUCCAUGUGUAGCGGUGAAAUGCGUAGAUAUAUGGAGGAACACCGGUGGCGAAAGCGGCUCUCUGGUCUGUAACUGACGCUGAGGCUCGAAAGCGUGGGGAGCGAACAGGAUUAGAUACCCUGGUAGUCCACGCCGUAAACGAUGAGUGCUAGGUGUUGGGUCCUUUCCGGGACUCAGUGCCGCAGCUAACGCAUUAAGCACUCCGCCU
RNAcentral lists this ribosomal RNA (466 nucleotides) under Streptococcus acidominimus. RNAcentral's name for it is "bacterial SSU rRNA". It matches the Rfam family "Bacterial small subunit ribosomal RNA", at positions 417 to 874 of the family's 1533-position model. Lineage: Bacteria; Bacillati; Bacillota; Bacilli; Lactobacillales; Streptococcaceae. The record is from RNAcentral.